GACGAACGCUGGCGGCGUGCUUAGCACAUGCAAGUCGAACGGAAAGGCCCUACUUUUGUGGGGUGCUCGAGUGGCGAACGGGUGAGUAACACGUGAGUAACCUGCCCUUGACUUUGGGAUAACUUCAGGAAACUGGGGCUAAUACCGGAUAGGAGCUCCUGCUGCAUGGUGGGGGUUGGAAAGUUUCGGCGGUUGGGGAUGGACUCGCGGCUUAUCAGCUUGUUGGUGGGGUAGUGGCUUACCAAGGCUUUGACGGGUAGCCGGCCUGAGAGGGUGACCGGCCACAUUGGGACUGAGAUACGGCCCAGACUCCUACGGGAGGCAGCAGUGGGGAAUAUUGCACAAUGGGCGGAAGCCUGAUGCAGCAACGCCGCGUGCGGGAUGACGGCCUUCGGGUUGUAAACCGCUUUCGCCUGUGACGAAGCGUGAGUGACGGUAAUGGGUAAAGAAGCACCGGCUAACUACGUG
RNAcentral lists this ribosomal RNA (468 nucleotides) under uncultured bacterium. Its description in RNAcentral is "partial 16S ribosomal RNA". It matches the Rfam family "Bacterial small subunit ribosomal RNA", at positions 28 to 507 of the family's 1533-position model. The record is from RNAcentral.